RNAcentral lists this ribosomal RNA (514 nucleotides) under uncultured bacterium. RNAcentral's name for it is "bacterial SSU rRNA". It matches the Rfam family "Bacterial small subunit ribosomal RNA", at positions 1004 to 1515 of the family's 1533-position model. The record is from RNAcentral.
AGAUAGAGUCUUCCCCUUCGGGGGACAAAGUGACAGGUGGUGCAUGGUUGUCGUCAGCUCGUGUCGUGAGAUGUUGGGUCAAGUCCCGCAACGAGCGCAACCCUUAAGCUUAGUUGCCAGCAUUAAGUUGGGCACUCUAAGUUGACUGCCGGUGACAAACCGGAGGAAGGUGGGGAUGACGUCAAAUCAUCAUGCCCCUUAUGAUUUGGGCUACACACGUGCUACAAUGGACAAUACAAAGGGCAGCUAAACCGUGAGGUCAUGCAAAUCCCAUAAAGUUGUUCUCAGUUCGGAUUGUAGUCUGCAACUCGACUACAUGAAGCCGGAAUCGCUAGUAAUCGUAGAUCAGCAUGCUACGGUGAAUACGUUCCCGGGUCUUGUACACACCGCCCGUCACACCACGAGAGUCUGUAACACCCGAAGCCGGUGGAGUAACCAUUUAUGGAGCUAGCCGUCGAAGGUGGGACAAAUGAUUGGGGUGAAGUCGUAACAAGGUAGCCGUAUCGGAAGGUGC